This 560-nucleotide long non-coding RNA is filed under the name Monodelphis domestica (gray short-tailed opossum). Its description in RNAcentral is "lncRNA (ENSMODG00000041179.1)". Lineage: Eukaryota; Metazoa; Chordata; Mammalia; Didelphimorphia; Didelphidae. The record is from RNAcentral.
CCUGGAGGUGCAUCUCUCUGUCCAUCUUAAAUCUAAAGGAGAAUAAUCCUCUCAGGGUUAGAUGUUUUAGGUUAGGAGUCAUGAGGAUAUAAGGGAGCACAGGAAUUUCCCUGAUAAUAGUUUGCCCAGGUUUCUGGGGGUACAAUGCCCAGGCCACCGGUACUCUUGAAGGAACAACGGUUCAGGGAGAAGGAAUGUAUGGACUGACUCUUCAGAAUAUCUUCUGCCUGGGCUUUGAGAUCUCCUUUCUAUUUUCAUUUGAUUUUCAUCCUUCACAAGAAGCACAAGGGACAAAUACAAAAAAGAGAUUUCAAAAGAAAUCCUGGGAAAGAAUAAUGAAAGAAGAUUCCAUCAAUUUUCCUGUCCCCAUGUACAACUGGCUACAAUGAGUGGUCAUCACUCUGGAUCUUAAGACAGCCGAGUCAGGUCUCAUUAUAUCUGAGGAUCGAAAGAGCAUGAGAUAUGGAGGUGUCCAAGAGGGAUUGCCCAAUGGUACUGGGAGUUGAUCUUUUUGCCUGUGGCUUUGGGAUUCAGUCCUUCAAUUCAAGAUGUUACUGGGA